Long non-coding RNA from Gasterosteus aculeatus aculeatus (three-spined stickleback), 1165 nucleotides. Lineage: Eukaryota; Metazoa; Chordata; Actinopteri; Perciformes; Gasterosteidae. The record is from Ensembl.
CAAACGAAGGGGUGUGAUGAGGUCGAGCAAUCUUCAUCCAUCCUCUCGAUCCAAAACGCAGUAAAUAUGGAAAGACUACAUUCAUAGUACAGGUGUAUGUAAAUAUAUUACAUUUCCUUUUUAUGACUCGCACCUGCCUCGCCUAAAUUACUGUUUAAAGUUAUUUUUUAUUUCACUGACUCAGUGGUUCCUUUGAAAUCAGUUAAUUUGUGUCCCUUAUUUGGAUUAACCCGAUAAGGAGAUCCAAUAUUUUGCAGAUAAUUCAAUAUUGCAGAAAUGAGGUAUGAAACUGCGUAAAAAGCAGUAACCCCAACGUGUCGCAACAUUAUCCAAUUCCUCAUAUCACAUUUUCCUUAACCGCUUUUCCUUCCUGCCUUGAUCAAAUUCUCCAGUCACCUUGAACUCCUUAUGUUGCAUCUCCUGUUCAGUGCCAUUCCCUAUGAUCUGACCACCCCCGCCCACCUGCACAUCUGUUCCCAUUUCCCCAGCAGUAACAUACACCGGCCCACUUAUAUUCGUUGCCAGUAAGAUUGCUUCUAAGCUUCUGCCUUAGUGUUUCAGCCAUUUUCUCAGCUGGCCUAGGUUUUGCCUGUAAUGACCUCCUGCCUGCCUUUUGGACUCCUGUUCUCCAGCCUCAUCCCAUAUUGGAGAUGAUGGCCUGUUAUCUAUCCUGUGUUUCUGUGUUUGACUUAUACCCGUUUUUGACCCGACAUAAAACGUUUUCUCAUAAAGGCUCCUAGUUUUAAGAGAUCCUCCUUUUUUUUCCCAAUCAACCACAUCUAAAGAAUGCGUAAUACACCUUGCAACGGGGUGAACCACGCCUCCUGACUACGGUAAAGGUUGCUGUCCUUUCCUUGCUAUGAGUUUCUCUGAAACAUUUCCUUCAUCCUAUGAGUCCUUGCCAAAAAUGUUAGGUUCAAGCUUGGAGCUCUCUGAGAGUCUUUGUGAAUACAGCCGCAGAUCUUUUUUUGUCACACAUCAACACAUUGAUUUGUUGGAUUAGGUGUAAACAUUUUCAAACCAGUUUAAUAUAGAGCCAAACACUGGACCGGCAUACCGAGUUUGACCACUAAGUGCAACAACUCCAACAAAACCCGAGAGAUAUAGACACACGUCGCUAUGGUGAUAACUAUAGCGUAACUGCAAACGUUAUACUCACCAUCAC